Molecule: unclassified non-coding RNA, 336 nt
Filed under: soil metagenome
Description: partial contains 5.8S ribosomal RNA, internal transcribed spacer 2, and large subunit ribosomal RNA
Rfam family: 5.8S ribosomal RNA (bases 1-120)
Source: RNAcentral
GAUGAAGAACGUAGCGAAAUGCGAUAAGUAAUGUGAAUUGCAGAAUUCAGUGAAUCAUCGAAUCUUUGAACGCACAUUGCGCCCGCCAGUAUUCUGGCGGGCAUGCCUGUUCGAGCGUCAUUUCAACCAUCAAGCCCCCGGCUUGUGUUGGGGACCUGCGGCUGCCGCAGGCCCUGAAAAGCAGUGGCGGGCUCGCUGUCACACCGAGCGUAGUAGCAUACAUCUCGCUCUGGGCGUGCUGCGGGUUCCGGCCGUUAAACCACCUUCAUAACCCAAGGUUGACCUCGGAUCAGGUAGGAAGACUCGCUGAACUUAAGCAUAUCAAUAAGCGGAGGA